AGCGAACGCUGGCGGCAGGCUUAACACAUGCAAGUCGAACGCCCCGCAAGGGGAGCGGCAGACGGGUGAGUAACACGUGGGAACGUACCCUUUGGUUCGGAAUAACUUGGGGAAACUCAAGCUAAUACCGGAUAAGCCCUUAUGGGGAAAGGUUUACUGCCGAAGGAUCGGCCCGCGUCUGAUUAGCUAGUUGGUGAGGUAAUGGCUCACCAAGGCGACGAUCAGUAGCUGGUCUGAGAGGAUGAUCAGCCACACUGGGACUGAGACACGGCCCAGACUCCUACGGGAGGCAGCAGUGGGGAAUAUUGGACAAUGGGGGCAACCCUGAUCCAGCCAUGCCGCGUGAGUGAUGAAGGCCUUAGGGUUGUAAAGCUCUUUUACCCGGGACGAUAAUGACUGUACCGGGAGAAUAAGCCCCGGCUAACUUCGUGCCAGCCGCCGCCGUAA
This 447-nucleotide ribosomal RNA is filed under the name uncultured bacterium. RNAcentral's name for it is "partial 16S ribosomal RNA". It matches the Rfam family "Bacterial small subunit ribosomal RNA", at positions 29 to 523 of the family's 1533-position model. The record is from RNAcentral.